Molecule: transfer RNA, 69 nt
Filed under: Ictidomys tridecemlineatus (thirteen-lined ground squirrel)
Lineage: Eukaryota; Metazoa; Chordata; Mammalia; Rodentia; Sciuridae
Description: Spermophilus tridecemlineatus (thirteen-lined ground squirrel) tRNA
Rfam family: tRNA
About the family: Transfer RNA (tRNA) molecules are approximately 80 nucleotides in length. Their secondary structure includes four short double-helical elements and three loops (D, anti-codon, and T loops). Further hydrogen bonds mediate the characteristic L-shaped molecular structure. tRNAs have two regions of fundamental functional importance: the anti-codon, which is responsible for specific mRNA codon recognition, and the 3' end, to which the tRNAs corresponding amino acid is attached (by aminoacyl-tRNA synthetases). tRNAs cope with the degeneracy of the genetic code in two manners: having more than one tRNA (with a specific anti-codon) for a particular amino acid; and 'wobble' base-pairing, i.e. permitting non-standard base-pairing at the 3rd anti-codon position.
Source: Rfam by way of RNAcentral
GGGGCUGGGGCUCAGAGGCAGAGCGCUCGCCUCACAAGCGUGAGGCCCUGGGUUCGAUCCUCAGCACCA